UGACUUAUGGGUUGGUUCAUGCAUUAGCACCUAGAAUCCCAUUUAUUUGUCUUUUCUGUGAAACUCAAUUAAUGUGAUGUGAGAUUGUGGAUGUCAUCUCCACUGAUACAUGUUCCUUCAUGCAUUGUGCAGGAAAGCUGAAGGUCUUGGAUCAUCAAUGGAUUCAAGUCAUUUUUGAGCCACCUGAAUUCUUUAUACUGAACUCUUUCAUGCAUAAUUUGUUGUCCAUUGUAUAUAUUUCAAUACAACCAUUGGUCUAUUUUAUGGAAGGAAGGCUCAUGCUUUUUUCCUCUGAAAUUCAGUAUCGAAUCUCAAAUAUAAGGUACAAUGUAUCAAGUGGCGAACGUUACCCUGUACCAGACAAACCAGCUCCAGUUUACAUCACUGUCAGAGAUGGUGGAAAUCAAGAAGGUCUAGCUGGAAGAUUUUUAGAUCCCCAACCAGAGUAUUCUGCAUUCUGAGAAGCUAGUUAUGGUCAUUCGACACUGGAGAUCCAAAAUAGGACAUAAGCAUUCUACAAUUGGAACCGCAAUGAUGAUGGGAAAAAAGUGGCAACUGACUCGUUUGUAUUACACAAUCAGUACUGGUGAGUACAAUCAACCUUAAUCUGCAUAAGGCUGUAUGUUAGAUGAGGAAGCAUCAAAGUCUGCAGUGAAACAACUAAUGACCAUUUCUAAUAAUUUUGCUGAAAUUACCCCAGUGCAUGAAGCAUUUUUAGAGUGUUUGCAUGAUAUUAUUAGCAAAUAUGUUGUAGGAGAAUUAAUUCACUUGAAGAUAUGGUUGUGUUUUGUUGCAAGUCAAGCAAUCUGAGAUGAAGAAAACUAAAGAAGCAUGAGUAGCGUGCUUAAGCGUAUUGCUUCUUAUUGAGAAGAUGAGCUUUUGACUAAAGCAUUUCAUCUAUGGUACAAAUUUGGUUGAUUAAAUUUCAGUAAGAAGAUGAAAAUGCCAAAAUUAAUCAAAUCGAGUAAGCAAAGAUGCAAAUUCCUUAGCAUGAAGCUUCCCUUUGGUGUACCUUUUUAUUCAAAAUCAUGCUUUUUUUUUUUUUGGCUAAACCCCAAGACCCCGCCAACAGUGGCAGAAGGUUACAGAGGAAGAGAGCCAAGAAGAAGAAGAGCAAAUACAUGGUGUUUCAAUGGCAAAGAAUCAGACCCCGCCAAAUUAGGCAAAGAAAACUUUUUUUUUUUACAGCCUCUUCUUCUUCUUUAUCUUCUUCUUCUUCUCAUCUGUUAAGGGAUUUUUUUUAGGGUUUUUUUUUCAAUUUUUUCUUAAAUUGCGUGCGUUUUCACUGUGUACAUCCAACGUGGCAAGUUAACUUGCCACAUCAGCAAUCCUGUUAGGACACUAACAAAAAUUGUUAAUAAGUGACUAUUUUAUCACUUUUUUAUAAUGGUAGUGACUGUUUUAUUAUUUUUCAAAA
Molecule: long non-coding RNA, 1417 nt
Organism: Gossypium raimondii (Peruvian cotton)
Lineage: Eukaryota; Viridiplantae; Streptophyta; Magnoliopsida; Malvales; Malvaceae
Exons: 2
Source: RefSeq, a predicted model, not a curated record